This 562-nucleotide ribosomal RNA is filed under the name uncultured bacterium. Its description in RNAcentral is "bacterial SSU rRNA". It matches the Rfam family "Bacterial small subunit ribosomal RNA", at positions 338 to 916 of the family's 1533-position model. The record is from RNAcentral.
CCUACGGGAGGCAGCAGUGGGGAAUUUUCCGCAAUGGGCGAAAGCCUGACGGAGCAAUACCGCGUGAGGGAGGAAGGCUCUUGGGUUGUAAACCUCUUUUCUCAGGGAAGAUAAUGACGGUACCUGAGGAAUAAGCAUCGGCUAACUCCGUGCCAGCAGCCGCGGUAAUACGGAGGAUGCAAGCGUUAUCCGGAAUGAUUGGGCGUAAAGCGUCCGCAGGUGGUUUUGAAAGUCUGCUGUUAAAGCGUGCGGCUUAACCGCAUAAGGGCAGUGGAAACUAUGAGACUAGAGUGCGUUAGGGGCAGAGGGAAUUCCCAGUGUAGCGGUGAAAUGCGUAGAGAUUGGGAAGAACACCGGUGGCGAAGGCGCUCUGCUAUACCGUAACUGACACUGAGGGACGAAAGCUAGGGGAGCGAAUGGGAUUAGAUACCCCAGUAGUCCUAGCCGUAAACGAUGGAUACUAGGCGUUGUCUGUAUCGACCCGGACAGUGCCGUAGCUAGCGCGUUAAGUAUCCCGCCUGGGGAGUACGCAGGCAACUGUGAAACUCAAAGGAAUUGACGG